Molecule: transfer RNA, 72 nt
Filed under: Parallela transversalis
Lineage: Eukaryota; Viridiplantae; Chlorophyta; Chlorophyceae; Sphaeropleales; Sphaeropleaceae
Description: tRNA-Ala
Rfam family: tRNA
About the family: Transfer RNA (tRNA) molecules are approximately 80 nucleotides in length. Their secondary structure includes four short double-helical elements and three loops (D, anti-codon, and T loops).
Source: RNAcentral
GGGACAUUAGCUCAGUUGGUAGAGCGCAGCUUUUGCACGGCUGAUGUCAGGAGUUCGACUCUCCUAUGUUCC